Molecule: long non-coding RNA, 1331 nt
Filed under: Sarcophilus harrisii (Tasmanian devil)
Lineage: Eukaryota; Metazoa; Chordata; Mammalia; Dasyuromorphia; Dasyuridae
Description: lncRNA (ENSSHAG00000028208.1)
Source: RNAcentral
UAGCCCACUAACUAAUAGCAAUAUUUGACUUUAAAUAAGUUGAUUUCUCCAAACCUCACUUCCUUCAGUCAAAUGAUUGGGAGAUUGAUGGUGUCAAAGAAAAACAGGAGCUGCCAAGAUAUAAGGAUCCUUGCUGACUACAUAUUCACUUAAAAAACGACACAGAAACAUUACUUAUGUUUUAUUAUAGCUUUAUUUUAUUUAUUUAUUUUAGUUUUAUUUGUUUUAUUAAAUCAGAAUUGGGAAUGUUUCAGGUCACUUAUUGACCCCUUGGGUGAGAUAAUCUCUCAGGUGCUGUAUAGCUCUGAGAACCAUUUUCUCUCCUAUAUCUCCCCUCAUCCCUGCCUCAGGUUGCAGCAUCUCUAUUUUGUCCAAUCCAAAUAAAAUCAGCUUCAGCCCAUUCACUUUGCCCCCUCUCUACACAUGCUGAAAAUCAGUGUUAGAGUAUGGAACAGAAUUAUUUCUAAACCCCCAAACUGGGCUCCCAGACCACUGGAUUGCACAUGUUCCUUCUUCUUCCUCCUCCUUCUCCUUCUCUUCCUCUUCUUUUUUUCCUCCUCUUUUUCCUCUUUUUCUUCCUCCUCCAUCAUCAUCAUCCCUGUCAUCCUGCCUAUACCUGGAGUUAUUCAUAAUAAGCUUUCAGUGAUGCUACAAGAGAUGAACUGAUACUCCCCAAUCACAACAAGCAUUCACUUUAUCCACUUUGGAAAUUAUCUGCUAGAUAUUAAAAAUAAAAGUAUAAUAUUAAUACUAGCAUAGUGAUAACAGAGGGUAUGGGUCUAUACUCAGUUAAACAUAAGAUGAAAACAAUGAGGGAUAACAACAAUUUAAAUUUAUUUAAUACUUAAAAGUUAUAAAUCAAUUUGCUUAUAAACAUAAUUUCUUUCAUUCUACUCAACAAUCCUGUGAGUUAGUAGGAAAAAAUACUAUUAUUAUCAUUUUCGGUGGGGAAAUUGGAUUUCAGAGAGGUUAAAUGACUAAUCCAACUUUACAGACCUAGUAAAAGGAAGAGCCAAGCUUUUAAUCUAGGUCUUCUUGCUCUGAGUCAACAAAUGUGGCAAAAGCAGCCAAAAUUUUGCUUUGAGGAUUACUAGUCUUACAAUUGCUCUUUUAUGAGCUCCUAAAGGAAAUAAAGUGGAAAAGUCAGUUACUGCCACAUGAUUAAGGAUUCUGAAUGCCAGGGAAUAGAGUUUGGACUUUAGAUGUUAGGUAAUAGGUAGGCACUGGGAGUUCCUAUAGAAGAGAAUGAUAUGCUCAAAGCCUGUUCUUAAGAGGUAGUGAUUAGCAACUUUGUACAGUAUGCAUUAGAAUAAAAGGAGCCAAGAGAAUUU